This 242-nucleotide ribosomal RNA is filed under the name uncultured bacterium. RNAcentral's name for it is "partial 16S ribosomal RNA". It matches the Rfam family "Bacterial small subunit ribosomal RNA", at positions 15 to 243 of the family's 1533-position model. The record is from RNAcentral.
GAUCCUGGCUCAGAUUGAACGCUGGCGGCAUGCUUUACACAUGCAAGUCGGACGGCAGCACAGAGAAGCUUGCUUCUUGGGUGGCGAGUGGCGAACGGGUGAGUAAUAUAUCGGAACGUACCGAGUAAUGGGGGAUAACUAAUCGAAAGAUUAGCUAAUACCGCAUAUUCUCUGAGGAGGAAAGCAGGGGACCUUCGGGCCGUUCGUCGUUUACGUUCGACGGCCGGCCGAUAUCUGUAUUA